This 370-nucleotide ribosomal RNA is filed under the name Microbacterium sp. HPC484. RNAcentral's name for it is "bacterial SSU rRNA". It matches the Rfam family "Bacterial small subunit ribosomal RNA", at positions 1076 to 1444 of the family's 1533-position model. The record is from RNAcentral. Lineage: Bacteria; Bacillati; Actinomycetota; Actinomycetes; Micrococcales; Microbacteriaceae.
UGGGUUUAGUUCCGCAACGAGCGCAACCCUCGUUUUAUGUUUCCAGCACGUAAUGGUGGGAACUCAUGGGAUACUGCCGGGGUCAACUCGGAGGAAGGUGGGGAUGACGUCAAAUCAUCAUGCCCCUUAUGUCUUGGGCUUCACGCAUGCUUCAAUGGCCGGUACAAAGGGCUGCAAUACCGUGAGGUGGAGCGAAUCCCAAAAAACCGGUCCCAGUUCGGAUUGAGGUCUGCAACUCGACCUCAUGAAGUCGGAGUCGCUAGUAAUCGCAGAUCAGCAACGUUGCCGUGAAAACGUUUCCGGGUUUUGUUCUCACUGUCCGUNUAAUUUUUAACAAGGNAAGCNUUAGCAAGGACACGGUAACCCGANA